Molecule: long non-coding RNA, 2976 nt
Organism: Monodelphis domestica (gray short-tailed opossum)
Lineage: Eukaryota; Metazoa; Chordata; Mammalia; Didelphimorphia; Didelphidae
Source: RefSeq, a predicted model, not a curated record
AUAGACUUUGGCUUCCGAAAAGAAGACGAAGGCUACGGGGACCUCCUACCGGCUCCGCCUGUGUUCAGGAUGUCUAACAGAUUGGCUAACAAGCCCACAGCUGUUGGUGGAGCACGCGGUGGUGUAAUACAACAGGCUUUUUAUUCUGUGGAAAAUACUUAAGAGCAUCUCCGUGUUUCAGGGAGAAGCUGAGGACGUCCCACCCCCGCCGCUGCGUCACACUAGUCAAAAGCUUUCCGUCAAAGGAAGGGAGCCCGCUCGCUCUAGGUAAAUCAGGGCCCUGUUCCCUGCUUCUCUAGCGGAAGGACUCUCCUGCCCGCCAACGCCGUCUUACUUACCCCAAAGCUGACAAAAUCCCCAGAGCUAUUGCUGCUUCCCCAGCAAGUCCCUCCCUACCUUGUGGACUUGGCAAACAGAUGGGAACCCACUUCCCAGCUCCCCAGCCCAGAGGAGUAACGGAAGGGAGACUGUAGGUGCAUCCCACCUGGGACAGAACACCGAGAUAACAGGAAGAUUGAUAGGGAAACCAAAUCCCAAAGGAAUAAAGCAAGUUUCUCACCUACUUAAUGACAAAUCUGGAUCAUAAACUGAAGUCUCCAAACUGCCAACUCACUACACCAUUUUGGCUUUUGUUUGGGGUGCGUAUGUCUACGUGUUUGCUUCUGUGGGCAGCCCAGUGCAUUGCUCACUAUGUCUUAUUAGACAAUAUAAAAAUUUUAAAAACAACAUAAAAGUUUAAGGCCUAAAAGGGCAAUUAAUACAAUCCUCUAGGCUUAGAGUAUCUGGGGCCAAGAGUCAACAUCUCUCUUCCGCUCCUGAAGAGUCCUAUGGAAGAAGAUUUCACAAUCUCUGUAAGAAGCUAGUUUGGGUCUUUCACAAUCUCUUACAGUUAGAUCACAGGAUCACAGAUUUGGAACUAGGAGAGACCUAGAGGUCAUCAAAUCCAGCCCCUCAUUUUACAAAUGAAGGACAGAGGUUAAUGAGUAGGAAACUUAUUCUCUCUCAUUAUAAUUGAAUCCUUUUUUGUCUUGCUGGAGAUUUCAAUCAACAAGGAAAGACAGGAGUAACUGGGUAGCAAAUGGAUAGAGUUCCAAGUCUGGAGUGGGGAGAACCUGGAUUCAAAUCUGGCCUCGGACCCUUCCUAGCUGUGCCACCCUGGGCAAGUCAUUUGGCCACCAUUGCCUGGCACUGGCAGCUCUUCUGUCUUAGAAUUGAUACGAAGAUGGAAGGUAAGAGUUUUUAAAUAGGGGCAUGGAAAGACAGCUCAGUGCCGUAGAGAGAGCAUGGACCAGACACGGUACGUAUGCUGGAGUCAUCUUAGCUUCUUAUGCCAUUGUGCUUCCUCAUCUCCAGGCUCCUUGGCUUCCUUCCAGUUCCAGCUAAAAAUCUCCCCUUCUCCCCCUUGGCUCUUCACUCUGAGACUAACCCCAAUUUAUCUGGUAUUUUUCUUGUUGGUACAGUUAUUUGCAUGAUGUUUCCCCUUCUCCCCCCACCCCCCUUAGACUGUGAGAGCAGGGAGUAUUUUUUUGCCUUCCCUUACAUCUCUAGCAUUUAGCACAGUGCCUGGGAUAUAACAGUUGAUUAAUAAAUACUUGUUGACUGACUGAUAAAACUUCUCAAUUAGGACAUUGAUUUAGAGCUGAAAGGGACCUUGGAGGUCUUAUGGAGUCCUAACCCUCCCAUAUGCUUGUUCUCUUUUUUUUUUUAACUUUUACCUUGUCUUAGAAUCAAUACUAAAUAUCAAUUCUAAGGCAGAAGAGUGGUAAGGGCCAGGCAAUGGGAGUUAAGUGACUUGCCCAGGGUCACACAGCUAAAAAGUUCUGAAGCCAGAUUUGAACCUAGGUUCUCCAAACUCCAAGUCUGAUGCUUUAUCCACUGAGUCACCUAGCUGCCCCUUCACAGGAUUAUCCUGAGGGCUCAAAAAUUGACAGCAGAAAAAGCAUCUUCUCAGGGCAUGUGAUAAAAAUGACCCUAAACCUCCCUCAUUGAUGGGAUACAUUACCUUAAACUCCUAACGUAGAAUAAGCUCAGAUCUUACUCUUCGCCACAAUCUAAUCAAAAGGAAUUUCCUUAUAAUGGCAACUAACUACAAGAAUCUGACAAAUGCUACCCACCCAUCCAGGGCCAGGGUUCAUUUGUCUUUGUGUCUAAAAGGGCUGUCGGUCCUUGAUGGAGGCUGAAAAAUCUAAGUUCACUUGCUGUCGAACUGCCUGGAAUAUACACAGAUAGUAUGAUCAGUGAGAUUUCCUAGAAUUGACUGACAACUUCAAACCAUGAAUGAGAUUUCACCAUUGGGGGGGGGAGGGGGAAUCCCCAUUGAAGGAGCACAAUCCUAGCUCUUCAACCAAUUGCCAACUUCCUGCAGCUUCCAAAAUUUGUACUGGGAAGAGCUACGUAGAACAGUGAAUAAAGCACACCAGGCCUGGAGUUAAGAGAUCUUGGAUUUAAAUUCAACCUCAGACACUUCCUACUUGUAUGACCCUGGAAGUGCUUCCAAGGAAACGUGCCCCAUGACUUUAGAGAGGACCACAUUUCCAGUCCCAGACACAAGACUGAUAAAGGGAGCGUACAGUUGGCGUGGUGCAAUCUGAGAAGGACUGCUAAGCUGCAGAGCCAGAGUUCACUUCCUUGGUUUCCAUUCCCUCUCUCUUGCUGUCUGGGGAGAGUGGGACAGAAUAGCUGAGGAGGAGUCAGCCUCCAUUCCCCACCUCUCCACCCAGCCAGGAUUCCAAAAGGGAUGACCAGCCCUGGGAGGGUUCUGUGCUAUAGAUGUCUUCAGCUGAGGGUGAGCCAGCCAGGCUGUCCCCGAGGAUUACUGGGCAACCCUGGCUCUAUUUUUCAAAUACAACAGGUUCACUGAAACUCAAGAGAAAAUUUGCCAAGUGUCUGUUCUCUUCAUCUUGAACCCCUUGUGUAUUUUAAGGGAAACUAACCCAUCUGGUUUGGAUUUCAGUAACAAAUAAAUCAGCAUAAUGU